Molecule: ribosomal RNA, 398 nt
Filed under: uncultured bacterium
Lineage: Bacteria
Description: bacterial SSU rRNA
Rfam family: Bacterial small subunit ribosomal RNA
Source: RNAcentral
AAUGAACGCUGGCGGCGCGCCUAAUACAUGCAAGUCGAGCGAGAAGACGUAGCAAUACGUUUGUAAAGCGGCGAACGGGUGAGGAAUACAUGGGUAACCUACCCUCGAGUGGGGAAUAACUAGCCGAAAGGUUAGCUAAUACCGCGUACGCUUCUUGGACUUCGGUUCAGGGAGGAAAGCGAUGCCGAGGGUAUCGCGCUCUUGGAUGGGCUCAUGUCCUAUCAGCUUGUUGGNGAGGUAACGGCUCACCAAGGCUUCGACGGGUAGCUGGUCUGAGAGGACGAUCAGCCACACUGGCACUGCGACACGGGCCAGACUCCUACGGGAGGCAGCAGUGGGGAAUCUUGCGCAAUGGGCGAAAGCCUGACGCAGCGACGCCGCGUGAGGGAUGACGGCCU